UUCUGACAUCCACAUGGUAACAAGCACUGCUCAGAGCCAGCGGCAGUGCUGUUUCUGGCACAAAUCUUCCACCUGUCCAUGAGGGAAAGCACUACAGCGAGCUGCUGGUGCAUUGCAUGCCUGUCAGCUCUGGGUUAAACAGCCCUUGGAGAGCAAAUACAGUGCUGUAUGCAAUUGUGUACAUGUAUAUAUAUGUCUCUAUAUAUGUGUAUAUAAUGUUCUGUAGUAUGCAUAUAUGUUAUAUACAUAAGAGGUGAGAUUAAAGUAAGGAUUAACCCCAUUACGGUCAUUCAAAUAACAACAUAACAGUUCUUCAAGUGGGAAGCCCUUUGGAGAGAGAUUGUCUGUAUCAAGCACUUUCUUGUUAAUUGGUAAAAACCAGAGCUGGUGGCCUCGGCCCAGUGGCUGGGGCAGAGUAGGGGCAGCAGGGGGGCUGUGGUGGGUGCACACGAGGCUGUACCUGCCCCCUGCUCUGCUGGAGCUGGCCUGGGACCUGGGAGGGGGCUUCCAUGGCCUGCUCAGGCCUGAAGUAAAGCCACAGAGAGCAGGCCUGGAGCCACAGGUCGCAGCUCCUUGUGCUGGAGAUGUAAAAUAUAUCACUACCCACAACAAAGAUGAAGCUGCAGAUAUGAGACUGUCACAGUUUCCAGUGCUGAUUGCACUACUUCCAGAAAACGACAGCAAGCAAGGAACUCUCUAUCCAGGAUCCUCUGAUUUCCAUCAUCUGGACCUCUGUCUGUAUCUAUAUGAAGGAGUAAAGCAGUUUUUGCAAGAUAUUAAUUAUAUGUACUUAUAUAAGACCAUAAACAGUGGUUCUUCUGCGAACUAUACAUAUACAUAUAUACAUGUACAUAUAUACACAUACAUAUAUAUGUACAUAUAUAUAUAUAUUUUAAUGGCUGAAUCCGUGGUUAGGGAUUCUCUGCAGUGUUUUUGUAAGUUUUUUCUCCCCUUUUGGAGACACUGAUGGCUACAAGACAUAUUGCUGUGUUCAUGUAAAACAACAACAACAAACACACACAGAUUUAUUAACAGAUUUCUGACAAACAACGGCAUUUGCCAACUAAAACAGCCAAGAUCCAUCGUUAAAACUUUAACAAAGAACAGCCCUCUGUGGGAAAGCAAUGGAUGAUCCAAGUCAUUUUUACAAGCGCUGAUUCAAACUAUCAUUGCAUCCUUGGUUAAUGCGUUUUUUCCAUGAGUACAAGGGUGGGAGCUUGUUAAGGAUUACUGAACAGAACAUGCUACAAAUAAACCCUGAAGAAGGGACA
Molecule: long non-coding RNA, 1271 nt
Filed under: Anas platyrhynchos platyrhynchos (common mallard)
Lineage: Eukaryota; Metazoa; Chordata; Aves; Anseriformes; Anatidae
Description: lncRNA (ENSAPLG00000023833.1)
Source: RNAcentral